This 376-nucleotide ribosomal RNA is filed under the name uncultured bacterium. RNAcentral's name for it is "bacterial SSU rRNA". It matches the Rfam family "Bacterial small subunit ribosomal RNA", at positions 521 to 896 of the family's 1533-position model. The record is from RNAcentral.
UAAUACGAAGGGGGCUAGCGUUGUUCGGAAUUACUGGGCGUAAAGGGCGCGCAGGCGGCCAUUCAAGUCAGGCGUGAAAGCCCCGGGCUCAACCUGGGAAUUGCGCUUGAGACUGGAUGGCUUGAGUUCGGGAGAGGAGAGUGGAAUUCCCAGUGUAGAGGUGAAAUUCGUAGAUAUUGGGAAGAACACCGGUGGCGAAGGCGGCUCUCUGGACCGAUACUGACGCUGAGGCGCGAAAGCGUGGGGAGCAAACAGGAUUAGAUACCCUGGUAGUCCACGCCGUAAACGAUGUGUGCUAGACGUUGGACGGCCUAGCCGUUCGGUGUCGCAGCUAACGCGUUAAGCACACCGCCUGGGGAGUACGGCCGCAAGGUUA